UACGGAGGAUGCGAGCGUUAUCCGGAUUCAUUGGGUUUAAAGGGUGCGUAGGCGGUUUAAUAAGUCAGGGGUGAAAUCUUUAAGCUUAACUUAAAGGUUGCCUUUGAUACUGUUAGGCUUGAGUACGAUCGAGGUAGGCGGAAUGUGCAGUGUAGCGGUGAAAUGCUUAGAUAUUGCACAGAACACCAAUUGCGAAGGCAGCUUACUAGAACGUCACUGACGCUGAUGCACGAAAGCGUGGGGAUCAAACAGGAUUAGGUACCCUGGUAGUCCACGCCGUAAACGAUGAUCACUUGCUGUCGGCGAUACACAGUCAGUAGCAAAGGGAAACCGAUAAGUGAUCCACCUGGGGAGUACGUUCGCAAGAAUGAA
RNAcentral lists this ribosomal RNA (372 nucleotides) under uncultured bacterium. RNAcentral's name for it is "bacterial SSU rRNA". It matches the Rfam family "Bacterial small subunit ribosomal RNA", at positions 524 to 898 of the family's 1533-position model. The record is from RNAcentral.